RNAcentral lists this ribosomal RNA (473 nucleotides) under uncultured bacterium. RNAcentral's name for it is "bacterial SSU rRNA". It matches the Rfam family "Bacterial small subunit ribosomal RNA", at positions 30 to 496 of the family's 1533-position model. The record is from RNAcentral.
AUUGAACGCUGGCGGCAUGCCUUACACAUGCAAGUCGAACGGCAGCACGGGAGCAAUCCUGGUGGCGAGUGGCGAACGGGUGAGUAAUGUAUCGGAACGUACCUUUCAGUGGGGGAUAACGUAGCGAAAGUUACGCUAAUACCGCAUAUUCUGUGAGCAGGAAAGCAGGGGAUCGCAAGACCUUGCGCUGAUUGAGCGGCCGAUAUCAGAUUAGCUAGUUGGUGAGGUAAAGGCUCACCAAGGCGACGAUCUGUAGCGGGUCUGAGAGGAUGAUCCGCCACACUGGAACUGAGACACGGUCCAGACUCCUACGGGAGGCAGCAGUGGGGAAUUUUGGACAAUGGGCGCAAGCCUGAUCCAGCCAUGCCGCGUGUGUGAAGAAGGCCUGAGGGUUGUAAAGCACUUUCAAUCGUGAAGAAAGUUAGCAGGCUAAUACCCUGUGACCUUGACGUUAACGAUACAAGAAGCACCGG